This 988-nucleotide ribosomal RNA is filed under the name Cibicidoides wuellerstorfi. RNAcentral describes it as "bacterial SSU rRNA". It matches the Rfam family "Eukaryotic small subunit ribosomal RNA", at positions 1172 to 1812 of the family's 1831-position model. The record is from RNAcentral. Lineage: Eukaryota; Foraminifera; Rotaliida; Anomalinidae.
AGGGCACCACAAGAACGCGUGGAGCAUGUGGCUUAAUUUGACUCAACGCGGGAAAUCUUACCGGGUCCGGACACACUGAGGAUUGACAGGCAAUAUUAAUACUUUGCUUCGGCAUUGUAUUAUGUUAAAUAUGCUAGUCCUUUCAUGAUUAUGUGAUAGGUGGUGCAUGGCCGUUCUUAGUUCGUGGAGUGAUCUGUCUGCUUAAUUGCGUUUCACUAAGGGCCUAUAAAUUUACGUAUGUUGUAUCGCACUUUGACCCCUUUCUUUAAUUAGAAAGCGCGUGUCUUAGUUUCGCUUUGCUCAUACAAUUAGGUCCUGAAAGCAACGAACGUGACCGCAACCUCUUGUUGCCUUUAUACCAAACAUGUUUAUUCAUUUUUUAAUGUUCAUUCAUGAAAAAAGGCUUUUUAAACUAGAGGGACCGCUGUUACUUUCUUAAACCAGAGGAAGGUUGCGGCAAUAACAGGUCUGUGAUGCCCUUAGAUGUUCCGGGCUGCACACGUGCUCACAAUGAUUAUUGCAGUGAGCAUCUCAUUUUUACACACCGCAUGCGCGAGUCCAUUUAUUCACCUUCGGGUGUUUUAAAUGUGUACCUCUGCGCGCGGUAAAGCCUGCUUCGAAAGUAAGUGGGUAAUCAAUUAGAAGUAAUGAUUUCCUUUUUUAGCACACAUAUAUACGGCGUCUAUGCCCGGGUUACCUUGUUGUAGCUUUUGUGUGUAUAGAUGUUUUUUCCGUAUGUGCGAUUGUCAAUUCAUGGUGGGGACAGACCAUUGUUAAUUGUUGGUCUCGGUCUUAACUAGGAAUGCCUUGUACGGGUCUUUGGUUCAACAAACCACCCGGAAUACGUCCCUGCCCUUUGUACACACCGCCCGUCGCUCUUACCGAUGGACUUCUCUGUGAGUUUGAGGGACUGGGAACGCAGGAAUUUAUUUYUGCACACMUAUGGAAACUUAAACGAACAGUGUGGUCUAAAGGAAAGAGAAGUCGU